AUAUUGGACAAUGGGCGAAAGCCUGAUCCAGCCAUGCCGCGUGAGUGAAGAAGGCCUUCGGGUUGUAAAGCUCUUUUGUCCGGAAAGAAAAGCCUUGGGUUAAUACCCUGAGGUUCUGACGGUACCGGAAGAAUAAGCACCGGCUAACUUCGUGCCAGCAGCCGCGGUAAUACGUAGGUGGCGAACGUUGUCCGGAUUCACUGGGCGUAAAGCGCGCGCAGGCGGGUUGGUAAGUCUGAUGUGAAAGCUCCCGGCUCAACUGGGAGAAGCCAUUGGAUACUGCUAGCCUUGAGACACUUAGAGGAGAGUGGAAUUCCCGGUGUAGUGGUGGAAUGCGUAGAUAUCGGGAGGAACACCAGUGGCGAAAGCGGCUCUCUGGGAGUGUUCUGACGCUGAGGCGCGAAAGCGUGGGGAGCAAACCGG
Molecule: ribosomal RNA, 423 nt
Filed under: uncultured bacterium
Lineage: Bacteria
Description: bacterial SSU rRNA
Rfam family: Bacterial small subunit ribosomal RNA
Source: RNAcentral